GGUCCGUGACUUGCCUCUGGGAAACUUGCAGCGCAGCCUGGUGAGCGAAGUUCGCGCACGUCGACCAGUGCUUCAGGCGCCUGCUGUUCGACCCUAAGCAAGCCGCAGUCCACAAUCCUUUGCCGAACAGCUAUGGCUUUGGCGACGCCUGCUGGUGCCAUCGGAGGACGCCGAUGAACCCGCACGUCAAGUGCAAGUUCUGGAGAUUUCAGUGUAGGAAGAAAACCGCGUGGCUGCCCUGUUUUCAAUUCGCUGCAAAGCUUAUAGAGUGAUAUCAAUGGUGUGUUCUGAUGUAAUCGUGCGAUUAGUCCUUGUCCAAGUUGGUAAUGCUACUCAGCGAGAUAGAUGGUAGACGAUCGCCAUAAUUAAAAAUUUAUAACUUGAACUGAAAAAUAUGGACAAAAAAGGAUUACUCUAGCCAUCGUUUUGAUGUCACCUUGUGAUUCAUUGAUCUUUCGUCGAUAAUCAAGUAGCGAUUUGUAAAGUAUACCGAGGACGCAAACAUAAUUUGUCAUGAUUAUUUUAGUGGUAGCUUCUGUAGUGAAUUCGCAAGCGGCUUCGAUAUGCCUUAAAUUUCAAAUAGAGGUUGGAGUCAAAGUAGGAUCGAAGCUUGUGAUGAAAAAAAAUUGUUAACAGAGGUUCACGAUGCGCUGGCAGUGAACAAGCAGAGUUGAAGGCGAGUCCACUCUUCAAAGCUUUGCCUCCCCCACACAGAGUUUAUUUACAAAUAUUGACUGCUGAAGCAGCACAAAUGAAUGUAUUGCUAGUUGGUGUUCUGAAUAUGGCUUCAUCGCAUGAGUGCCCAAUAAAAGGCUUUCGAUUCGUUGUGUUACAAGGUCAUGUUUUUAACUGCCGAUCUUAUUCUGUAAUAAAUUCGCCGUAGGUGCUGCG
Rhipicephalus microplus (southern cattle tick) is the source of this 891-nucleotide long non-coding RNA. NCBI's taxonomy places the organism in Eukaryota, Metazoa, Arthropoda, Arachnida, Ixodida, Ixodidae. The record is from RefSeq and is a predicted model, not a curated record.